CGGAACGUGCCAUUGAGUGGGGGAUAACGUAGCGAAAGUUGCGCUAAUACCGCAUAUUCUGUGAGCAGGAAAGCAGGGGACCGCAAGGCCUUGCGCUCUUUGAGCGGCCGAUGUUAGAUUAGCUAGUUGGUGAGGUAAAGGCUUACCAAGGCGACGAUCUGUAGCGGGUCUGAGAGGAUGAUCCGCCACACUGGAACUGAGACACGGUCCAGACUCCUACGGGAGGCAGCAGUGGGGAAUUUUGGACAAUGGGGGCAACCCUGAUCCAGCCAUGCCGCGUGAGUGAAGAAGGCCUUCGGGUUGUAAAGCUCUUUCGGCCGGGAAGAAAUCGCAUGGGCCAAUACCCUGUGUGGAUGACGGUACCGGAAUAAGAAGCACCGGCUAACUACGUGCCAGCAGCCGCGGUAAUACGUAGGGUGCGAGCGUUAAUCGGAAUUACUGGGCGUAAAGCGUGCGCAGGCGGUUUUGUAAGACAGGCGUGAAAUCCCCGGGCUUAACCUGGGAACUGCGUUUGUGACUGCAAGGCUAGAGUACGGCAGAGGGGGGUGGAAUUCCACGUGUAGCAGUGAAAUGCGUAGAGAUGUGGAGGAACACCAAUGGCGAAGGCAGCCCCCUGGGUCGAUACUGACGCUCAUGCACGAAAGCGUGGGUAGCAAACAGGAUUAGAUACCCUGGUAGUCCACGCCCUAAACUAUGUCAACUAGGUGUUGGGUGGGUAAAACCAUUUAGUACCGUAGCUAACGCGUGAAGUUGACCGCCUGGGGAGUACGGCCGCAAGGUUAAAACUCAAAGGAAUUGACGGGGACCCGCACAAGCGGUGGAUGAUGUGGAUUAAUUCGAUGCAACGCGAAAAACCUUACCUACCCUUGACAUGCCAGGAACUUGCCAGAGAUGGCUUGGUGCCCGAAAGGGAGCCUGGACACAGGUGCUGCAUGGCUGUCGUCAGCUCGUGUCGUGAGAUGUUGGGUUAAGUCCCGCAACGAGCGCAACCCUUGUCGUUAAUUGCCAUCAUUUAGUUGGGCACUUUAACGAGACUGCCGGUGACAAACCGGAGGAAGGUGGGGAUGACGUCAAGUCCUCAUGGCCCUUAUGGGUAGGGCUUCACACGUCAUACAAUGGUCGGUACAAAGGGUUGCCAAGCCGCGAGGCGGAGCCAAUCCCAGAAAGCCGAUCGUAGUCCGGAUUGCAGGCUGCAACUCGCCUGCAUGAAGUCGGAAUCGCUAGUAUCGUGGAUCAGCAUGUCACGGUGAAUACGUUCCCGGGUCUUGUACACACCGCCCGUCACACCAUGGGAGCGGGUUCCGCCAGAAGUAGGUAGCCUAACCGCAAGGGGGGCGCUUACCACGGCGGGGUUCGUGACUGGGGUGAAGUCGUAACAAGGUA
RNAcentral lists this ribosomal RNA (1383 nucleotides) under metagenome. RNAcentral describes it as "bacterial SSU rRNA". It matches the Rfam family "Bacterial small subunit ribosomal RNA". The record is from RNAcentral.